Long non-coding RNA from Danio aesculapii, 273 nucleotides. RefSeq lists it as uncharacterized. Lineage: Eukaryota; Metazoa; Chordata; Actinopteri; Cypriniformes; Danionidae. The record is from RefSeq and is a predicted model, not a curated record. The transcript has 3 exons.
UGUGUCCAUGCGUAGAGAGGCGUGAGUGUGGCAUAAUGAAAGCUUGUGGAGUUUGUGUUCAGCCACACAGACGCGCUCAGAUCGUGUGUCUCGUGAGCAGUCGCUGAGGUGUGAGACCAUCCUGGAGAGAGGAGAGCUGGCGGAUCCGUAGCCGAGAGUAAAUAAAAGCACAUCUGCUGAGAAAAUGGGUGAGGAGGGGCCGCCCAGCCUGGAGUACAUUCAGGCCCGGGAUCUGUUUCCCCAGAAAGAGCUGCUCAAAGAGGACGACACUCU